Molecule: ribosomal RNA, 293 nt
Filed under: uncultured bacterium
Lineage: Bacteria
Description: partial 16S ribosomal RNA
Rfam family: Bacterial small subunit ribosomal RNA
Source: RNAcentral
GUGUCAGCCGCCGCGGUAAUACGUAGGGUGCGAGCGUUAAUCGGAAUUACUGGGCGUAAAGCGUGCGUAGGCGGUUGCAUAAGCUUGAUGUGAAAGCCCCGGGCUUAACCUGGGAAUGGCAUUGAGGACUGUGUGGCUUGAGUGCGGCAGAGGGAGGUGGAAUUCCACGUGUAGCAGUGAAAUGCGUAGAGAUGUGGAGGAACACCGAUGGCGAAGGCAGCCUCCUGGGCCGACACUGACGCUGAGGGCACGAAAGCGUGGGGAGCAAACAGGAUUAGAUACCCCUGUAGUCC